This is a long non-coding RNA of Dama dama (fallow deer), 1534 nucleotides long. RefSeq lists it as uncharacterized. The transcript has 3 exons. The record is from RefSeq and is a predicted model, not a curated record. NCBI's taxonomy places the organism in Eukaryota, Metazoa, Chordata, Mammalia, Artiodactyla, Cervidae.
GGUGUGGUAUGGCACCUUUAGAAGUGAGCUUGCACAAUUCCUGGAAGGAAAAGUAAUGGAGAACUAACGGUUCUUGAAGAGACAUUCAGAGAAAUGACUGGGAUAUAAAAGAAGAUACCUUUUUAGUGUAGAGUUGUAAAGUGGAAAGAAUAAUGAAUGGUUUGAAGACCUAGGUUGGAAUCCCAGCUCAGAAGUAUGACCUUGGGCAAGUUACUUAACCGAUCUAGAAUCUCAAUUGCAAAACGCAGAUAAAACCUCACAGGACGGCUGUCAAGAUUAAAUAAGAUAAAGGAUGGGAAAGCUGAUAAUGCGAUACAAAUAACAAGUGUUAUUAGGAGUUAGUCUCCUCCCAGGUACAACACAGUAGGUCCACGACCUUGACGUGAUUUCAGUUCCUCGUGCCUCGGUUUUCUCAUCUAGAAAAUGGGAAGGUUGAUACUAUCUACUCUACAAAUAUUCUGAGAAUCAAGUUAGACCAUAUAUGAGACAUCACGCCUUGAAAACUGUACAGUGCUGUACGUCUAUAAAGAACUGCCAUCGUGGCCGAUACGUCUUAAGCAUGUCAAAGGCCGUGUUUAUGCAAAGAAACACGUAUUUUUAUGCUAUGCAGGUGAGGAAGCCUCGCGUGCAUUUCUGCAUCCAAGAGUGGGGCACAGGGCACAGACAGACAUUCACGGAUUCCGGGGGUGUGACUUGCACGCUUGGGAAGAGGACCAUGGAACAAGCUGCUCGGCCGGAAUCAGAGUGGACCCGCUCGAUAGCCCCCGCCUCGCCGGCCCGGACGAUGUAGAGGGCGCGCUCCUCAUCCAUGGCCGCAGGUGCGGGGGAGCCGCGGCCGCUCUGCGCGCCCAAGCCGCUGCCUCCAGAGCAAAAGUAAGACGACAUCCCAGGAAAGCCGCCUACCCGUGCUCCUCUCUGUGGGGAUAAACUGGUAUCCUGUGUGUGACCGAAGAGGAAGGCACGUGCGUGCUCCGCAUACAGGGCAGCUGUUGAGAGUUUUCAGCCGGGGACCCUGCCGCUGUUGUCACCGUGUACGUUAGAGACCACGUGUACGACUGCAUGGCUCCUGCAGAGAUAAGCGAAGAUGCAUCAUCACCAGCAGUUCUCACUCCCCCAGUUCUUCCCUAGCAUGCUAGUGGUUUCCCACUGCUCUCUAGCUGAAAGCCAGAAUCUUUACACAUCCUGUGUCAUGGUUCUUGCUGACCUCACCAGAAGCAUCCCUCACUCCCUGCUUUUGUACCUCUGAUCCAGCCACCAUAGCUUUCUUUCAUUUUUCCAGAGUACCACAAUUCCCAGCACCACAAGGCCUUUGCACAGCCAUUUCCACUGCCUGAAACCCUCAGUCUUCCCUAAGUACCCACUCAUUCUUCAUAUUUUAAUAUGAAGAAGCUGUCUCCUAAACCCAGAUCCCAUUAAGUCAGGUCCCAUACAGCAUGAUUAUGCCUACCACUAUUUGUAACCUUACAGCCAUUCAUGAGUGUGAUUGAAUUAGUGUCUGAUCCCCUCCCCACCAGACUUUGAGCUACAUGAGGGU